This 397-nucleotide ribosomal RNA is filed under the name Crittendenia lichenicola. RNAcentral describes it as "partial large subunit ribosomal RNA". It matches the Rfam family "Eukaryotic large subunit ribosomal RNA", at positions 35 to 427 of the family's 3401-position model. Lineage: Eukaryota; Fungi; Basidiomycota; Agaricostilbomycetes; Agaricostilbales; Crittendeniaceae. The record is from RNAcentral.
UAAGCAUAUCAAUAAGCGGAGGAAAAGAAACUAACAAGGAUUCCCCUAGUAACGGCGAGUGAAGUGGGAAAAGCUCAACUUUGUAAUCUGGCUCUUUCAGAGUCCGAGUUGUAGUCUAGAGAGGUGAUAUCCGCGUCGGACCUUAAACAAGGCUGUUGGAAUGCAGCGUCGUAGAGGGUGAGAAUCCCGUACAUAUUAAGGAGCCCGUAUGCAUUGUGAUACGCUUUCAAAGAGUCGAGUUGUUUGGGAAUGCAGCUCAAAUUGGGUGGUAAAUUCCAUCUAAAGCUAAAUAUUGGCGAGAGACCGAUAGCGAACAAGUACCGUGAGGGAAAGAUGAAAAGCACUUUGGAAAGAGAAUGAAACAGUAUGUGAAAUUGCUGGAAGGGAAACGAUUGAA